Triticum aestivum (bread wheat) is the source of this 125-nucleotide non-coding RNA. NCBI's taxonomy places the organism in Eukaryota, Viridiplantae, Streptophyta, Magnoliopsida, Poales, Poaceae. The record is from Rfam.
CUUGUACUCCCUCCGUCCGUAAAUACUUGUCGGGAAAAUGGAUGUAUCUAGACGUAUUUUAUUUCUAGAUACAUUUAUUUUCAUCCAUUUUCGCGAUAAGUAAUUCCGGACGGAGGGAAUAGUAU